GACGUAGGGCGCGAGCGUUGUCCGGAUUUAUUGGGCGUAAAGAGCUCGUAAGCGGCUUGUCGCGUCGACCGUGAAAACUUGGGGCUCAACCCCAAGCCUGCGGUCGAUACGGGCAGGCUAGAGUUCGGUAGGGGAGACUGGAAUUCCUGGUGUAGCGGUGAAAUGCGCAGAUAUCAGGAGGAACACCGGUGGCGAAGGCGGGUCUCUGGGCCGAUACUGACGCUGAGGAGCGAAAGCGUGGGGAGCGAACAGG
RNAcentral lists this ribosomal RNA (253 nucleotides) under uncultured bacterium. RNAcentral describes it as "partial 16S ribosomal RNA". It matches the Rfam family "Bacterial small subunit ribosomal RNA", at positions 524 to 776 of the family's 1533-position model. The record is from RNAcentral.